CAGUGAUAAACUGGAGGAAGGUGGGGAUGACGUCAAGUCAUCAUGGCCCUUACGAGUAGGGCUACACACGUGCUACAAUGGCAUAUACAAAGAGAAGCGACCUCGCGAGAGCAAGCGGACCUCAUAAAGUAUGUCGUAGUCCGGAUUGGAGUCUGCAACUCGACUCCAUGAAGUCGGAAUCGCUAGUAAUCGUAGAUCAGAAUGCUACGGUGAAUACGUUCCCGGGCCUUGUACACACCGCCCGUCACACCAUGGGAGUGGGUUGCAAAAGAAGUAGGUAGCUUAACCUUCGGGAGGGCGCUUACCACUUUGUGAUUCAUGACUGGGGUGAAGUCGUAACAAGGUAACCGUAGGGGAACCUGC
RNAcentral lists this ribosomal RNA (363 nucleotides) under Klebsiella aerogenes. RNAcentral's name for it is "bacterial SSU rRNA". It matches the Rfam family "Bacterial small subunit ribosomal RNA", at positions 1153 to 1515 of the family's 1533-position model. RNAcentral also lists the same sequence under 3 other names. Lineage: Bacteria; Pseudomonadati; Pseudomonadota; Gammaproteobacteria; Enterobacterales; Enterobacteriaceae. The record is from RNAcentral.